This is a long non-coding RNA of Gossypium raimondii (Peruvian cotton), 207 nucleotides long. RefSeq lists it as uncharacterized. The record is from RefSeq and is a predicted model, not a curated record. The transcript is spliced from 3 exons. Lineage: Eukaryota; Viridiplantae; Streptophyta; Magnoliopsida; Malvales; Malvaceae.
AUGAAAGUGGCCAUGCAUUUGGCUUUGUUUUGCCGAAAAUUGAAGAACAAAGAACACCUUUGGUGUUUUAAACAUUCGGCAGUUAGGAAGCUAAAAUUUGAUCAAGAAUUAAAGAAGUCGAAUUUGGAUUGGGGAAAAACAAAAGUAGUCGAAUAGUCGAACGUCUCCGUCUAUAUCCGAGACUUAAGAUCAAGCUUCAAGCUCGGG